This 1770-nucleotide ribosomal RNA is filed under the name Protomycocladus faisalabadensis. Its description in RNAcentral is "SSU rRNA". It matches the Rfam family "Eukaryotic small subunit ribosomal RNA". The record is from RNAcentral. Lineage: Eukaryota; Fungi; Mucoromycota; Mucoromycetes; Mucorales; Syncephalastraceae.
CAAAGAUUAAGCCAUGCAUGUCUAAGUAUAAGCAAUUUAUACUGCGAAACUGCGAAUGGCUCAUUAAAUCAGUUAUUAUGUACAUGCAUUAUACCUUACUACUGGAUAACCGUGGUAAUUCUAGAGCUAAUACAUACACUAAAAUCUUGGCUUCGGCCCGGAUGUAUUUAUUAGUUACAAAACCAAUACAGGGUUAAACCUGUUUUUUGGUGAAUCAUAAUAAUUCUUGCUUGGACGGAUCGCGUAUAGCGACGUUGCAUAUCAUUUUCUGCCCUAUCACCGCUUUGGAUUGUACGGUAGUGGCGUACGAAUGGUUAUAACGGGUAACGGGGAAUAAGGGUUCGAUUCCGGAGAGGGAGCCUGAGAAACGGCUACCACAUCCAAGGAAGGCAGCAGGCGCGCAAAUUACCCAAUUCCGACACGGAGAGGUAGUGACAAUAAAUAACAAUGCAGGGCCUUAUGGUCUUGCAAUUGGGAUGAGUACAAUUUAAAUCCCAUAACGAGGAUCCAUUGGAGGGCAAGUCUGGUGCCAGCAGCCGCGGUAAUUCCAGCUCCAAUAGCGUAUAUCAAAGUUGCUGCAGUUAAAACGUCCGUAGUCGAAGUUUAGUCUUGGAUGCUGUGCUAUAGGCUUCAUUGUCUAUGGUUUCAGUUAUCUAGACUCGUUAGUUCUGCUUCUUUCUACCUCGGUAGUUGGAUCAGACCAUACCCAUGAGCAAAUCAGAGUGUUUAAAGCAGGCUUUAUGCCGGAAUGUUGGAGCAUGGAAUAAUGAAAUAUGACAUUGUUGGUCUAUAUUUCGUUGGUGUGAGACCAAUAUGUAAUGAUGAAGAGAAACGGUUGGGGCCAUUUGGAUUUGGUCGCUAGAGGUGAAAUUCUUGGAUUGACCAAAGACAAACAUAGGCGAAAGCAAUUGACCCAGGACGUUUUCAUUGAUCAAGGUCGAAAGUUAAGGGAUCGAAGACGAUUAGAUACCGUCGUAGUCUUAUACCACAAACGUUGCCGACUAGUGAUCAGACAUGACCGAUUGAGGCGUGUUUGGGAACUAAGCGAAAGUAAAGUUUUUGGGCUCUGGGGGGAGUAUUGUCGCAAGGCUGAAACUUAAAGGAAUUGACGGAAGGGCACCACCAGGAGUGGAGCCUGCGGCUUAAUUUGACUCAACACGGGGAAACUUACCAGGUCCAGACAUAAGAAGGAUUGACAGAUUGAAAGCUCUUUCAAGAUUUUAUGGGUGGUGGUGCAUGGCCGUUCUUAGUUCGUGGAGUGAUUUGUCUGGUUAAUUCCGAUAACGAACGAGACCUUGAUUUGCUAAUUAGCCAAGCAAACAUUUAGUUUGUACCUUUUUGGCUUCUUAGAGAAACUAUUGACUUCAAGUCAAAGGAAGUUUGAGGCAAUAACAGGUCUGUGAUGCCCUUAGAUGUUCUGGGCUGCACGCGCGCUACACUGAUAAAGUCAGCGAGUAUAUAACCUUGGCAGAAAUGCCUGGGUAAUCUUAUGAAACUUUAUCGUGCUGGGGAUAGAGCAAUGCAAUUUCGCUCUUGAACGAGGAAUUCCUAGUAAGCGUCAGUCAACAACUGGCGUGGAUUACGUCCCUGCCCUUUGUACACACCGCCCGUCGCUACUACCGAUUGAAUGGCCAUAAUGAGCAUAUGGGAGCAUAGAGAAUAGUGUUGGCAACAACACACUCUUUGUGCGAACUAUGGCAAAUUACGCUAUUUAGAGGAAGUAAAAGUCGUAACAAGGUUUCCGUAGGUGAACCUGCGGAAGGAUCAUUA